GACGAACGCUGGCGGCGUGCUUAAUACAUGCAAGUCAACUGAACUUAAGGUAGCAAUAUUUUAAGGGAGGUGGCGCACGGGUGAGUAACACGUAGGUAAUCUGCCUUUAGGUCUGACACAACCUACCGAAAGGUAGGCUAAUAUCAGAUGAUGCAGCGGCUCGACAUCGAGACAGUUGUUAAACCUUCGGGGCCUAAAGAUGAGCCUGCGUCUGAUUAGGUAGUUGGCGGAGUAAUAGCCCACCAAGCCUGCGAUCAGUAGCUGGUCUGAGAGGAUGAUCAGCCACACUGGAACUGAGACACGGUCCAGACUCCUACGGGAGGCAGCAGUCGGGAAUAUUGGACAAUGGGGGCAACCCUGAUCCAGCCAUGCCGCGUGAGUGAAGAAGGCCCUCGGGUUGUAAAGCUCUUUGUCCGGAAAGAAAGCAAUCGGUUAAUACCCGGUUGUCUGACGGUACCGGAAGAAUAAGCACCGGCUAACUUCGUGCCAGCAGCC
Molecule: ribosomal RNA, 495 nt
Filed under: uncultured bacterium
Lineage: Bacteria
Description: bacterial SSU rRNA
Rfam family: Bacterial small subunit ribosomal RNA
Source: RNAcentral